This 433-nucleotide ribosomal RNA is filed under the name uncultured bacterium. RNAcentral describes it as "partial 16S ribosomal RNA". It matches the Rfam family "Bacterial small subunit ribosomal RNA", at positions 29 to 507 of the family's 1533-position model. The record is from RNAcentral.
AACGAACGCUGGCGGCAUGCCUAACACAUGCAAGUCGAACGAGACCUUCGGGCUUAGUGGCGCACGGGUGCGUAACGCGUGGGAACCUGCCCUUAGGUUCGGAAUAACUCCCCGAAAGGUGUGCUAAUACCGGAUAAUGUCUUCGGACCAAAGAUUUAUCGCCUUUGGAUGGGCCCGCGUUGGAUUAGCCAGUUGGUAGGGUAAAAGCCUCUCAAGGCGACGAUCCAGAGCUGGUCUGAGAGGAGGAUCAGCCACACUGGGGCUGAGACACGGCCCAGAAUCGUACGGAAGGCAGGAGUGGGGAAUAUUGGACAAGGGGGGAAGGCCUGAUCAAGCAAUGCCGGGUGAGUGAUGAAGGGGUUAGGGUUGUAAAGCUCUUUGACACGGGAUGAUAAUGACAGUACCGGGAGAAGAAGCUCCGGCUAACUACGUG